This 1026-nucleotide ribosomal RNA is filed under the name Triticum aestivum (bread wheat). RNAcentral describes it as "partial small subunit ribosomal RNA". The record is from RNAcentral. Lineage: Eukaryota; Viridiplantae; Streptophyta; Magnoliopsida; Poales; Poaceae.
AUGGAUGCCAGUAUUAGUGUUUCUCUGGGUGCCAUGAGACCCCUUCUUAAGAAGCUUCACAUGAUGCUAGGUCCUGAUGGAUGCAAGCUGACCAAGGGGGUCAAUGAUAGGUCACAACUCCUCAAAGAUGAUCUUAAAGAAAUAUGCGCAUACCUUGAAGAUCUGAUAGAGGUGGAGGACCCUCCCCUGGCGGCCAAGUGCUGGAUGAAAGAGGCACAGGAGUUAUCUUAUGACAUCCAAGAUUGUAUUGACAACUUUGUGCCCCCUGAGUCUCUUGGCUAUAAAUCUGACCACAAGAUGACUCAUGUUAAGAUUCCCAAGAGGCUCAAGUGGCAGAAACAUAUUGAAUAUGCAGCUCCUGAUGUGUCAGGACAUUUUAUCUCCAAAACCAUUUGUGCUGAUGUCAUUCGUGCUCCCAGGAAGCUCAAGUGGUACCAACAGAUGGUUGAAAAGGUAUCAGAAUUCAGGAUCUAUGCCGGGGAGGCAAUCCAACGGUAUGAGAGGUACCAGCUCCAUUGUUGUAGCACCUCGGCGGCACGUAGAUUUUCAGCCAUUGGGCCUAUGAUGCCAAUGCUGCCACUGCCCCGUGAGAAAACUUGUUCCGGCCUAGUAAUUGAUGCUCGGAUGAGCAACUUUAUCAACUCUUUGUUUAACGACGCGGAUCAACAGCUCAAGGUAGUGUCUAUUCAUGGAUCUGGGUGUCUUGGGAAAACAGUGCUUGCCAAAGUGUUGUACAAUAAAAUUGGGAGGAAAUUCCAUUGUCGGGCUUUCGUCCGGGUGUCCAAAAAGCCUGAUAUGAAGAGGCUUUUCUGCGACAUGAUAUCACAAUUCCAGCGGAAGCAACCCCAAGCAAGCCAAGACGCUUCCGAUGAAUUUCGCGUUACUGCUGAAAAUAUCAGGAAUUAUCUACAUGGCAAGAGAUAUCUACUUGUUGUUGAUGAUUUAUGGGAUACAGCAGCAUGGGAUGUUAUUAAUCAGCUUUUGCCCAAGUGUAGUCAAGGAAGCAGAAUAAUACCUCAGCAUUGA